AUUUUCCCACUCACUCGGAAUCAUCUCGAUCUCGUAUUCUCUCUAGGGUUCCGUCAAUCUUGAUCUGAAAAAUGGCAUCUCCGGCAGUAGUUUCGGCGCCGCGCUCCGCUGCUUCGUCGUCCAAAACUGAGACCUUUGUGGACAACAAGCGGAAAGAUGAUAUCCGCAUGGCGAAUAUCGCGGCCGCGCAGGCUGUGGCUAACGCUGUUCGUACUAGUCUUGGCCCCAAAGGUAUGGACAAAAUGAUCUCUACUGCAAACGGAGAGGUCAUUAUCACAAACGAUGGAGCUACUAUUCUUAACAAAAUGGAGGUUCUUCAACCCGCUGCUAAGUUUCUCGUUGAGUUAUCUAAGUCUCAAGAUGUUGUUGCCGGAGAUGGAACCACCACCGUUGUUGUUAUUGCCGGUGCAUUGCUCAAACAGUGUCUUUCACUUCUCUCCUCUGGUAUUCACCCCACUGUCGUUUCCGAUUCUCUGCAUAAGGCAUCUACAAAGGCUGUUGAAGUUCUCACUGCCAUGGCUCUUCCUGUUGAGCUCACUGACCGUGAUUCGCUUGUGAAAUCAGCUAGCACUGCGCUUAACAGCAAGGUAGUGUCGCAAUACUCCACUCUUUUGGCUCCUUUAGCUGUUGAUUCUGUGCUUUCUGUUGUUGACCCUGAAAAACCAGAGAUUGUCGAUCUAAGGGAUAUUAGAAUUGUCAAGAAAUUGGGAGGUACUGUUGAUGAUACCGAGUUGGUUAAAGGCUUAGUUUUUGACAAGAAGGUGAGUCAUGCCUCAGGUGGUCUCACACGAGUUGAAAAAGCUAAGAUUGGGGUGAUUCAGUUUCAAAUUUCCCCUCCCAAGACUGAUAUUGAGCAGAGCAUUGUGGUUUCUGAU
Molecule: unclassified non-coding RNA, 875 nt
Filed under: Hevea brasiliensis (rubber tree)
Lineage: Eukaryota; Viridiplantae; Streptophyta; Magnoliopsida; Malpighiales; Euphorbiaceae
Source: RNAcentral